This 253-nucleotide ribosomal RNA is filed under the name uncultured bacterium. RNAcentral describes it as "partial 16S ribosomal RNA". It matches the Rfam family "Bacterial small subunit ribosomal RNA", at positions 524 to 776 of the family's 1533-position model. The record is from RNAcentral.
UACGUAGGGUGCAAGCGUUGUCCGGAAUUAUUGGGCGUAAAGAGCUCGUAGGCGGUCUGUCGCGUCUGUUGUGAAAACUCAGGGCUUAACCCUGAGCUUGCAGUGGGUACGGGCAGACUAGAGUGCGGUAGGGGAGACUGGAAUUCCUGGUGUAGCGGUGAAAUGCGCAGAUAUCAGGAGGAACACCGGUGGCGAAGGCGGGUCUCUGGGCCGUAACUGACGCUGAGGAGCGAAAGCGUGGGGAGCGAACAGG